RNAcentral lists this ribosomal RNA (371 nucleotides) under uncultured organism. Its description in RNAcentral is "partial 16S ribosomal RNA". It matches the Rfam family "Bacterial small subunit ribosomal RNA", at positions 527 to 896 of the family's 1533-position model. The record is from RNAcentral.
GUAGGUGGCAAGCGUUGUCCGGAAUUAUUGGGCGUAAAGCGCGCGCAGGCGGUCCUUUAAGUCUGAUGUGAAAGCCCACGGUUCAACCGUGGAGGGUCAUUGGAAACUGGGGGACUUGAGUACAGAAGAGGAAAGCGGAAUUCCAAGUGUAGCGGUGAAAUGCGUAGAGAUUUGGAGGAACACCAGUGGCGAAGGCGGCUUUCUGGUCUGUAACUGACGCUGAGGCGCGAAAGCGUGGGGAGCAAACAGGGAUUAGAUACCCUGGUAGUCCACGCCGUAAACGAUGAGUGCUAAGUGUUAGGGGGUUUCCCGCCCCUUAGUGCUGCAGCUAACGCAUUAAGCACUCGCCUGGGGAUACGGCCGCAAGGCUG